CCUACGGGGGGCAGCAGUAGGGAAUCUUCCACAAUGGACGAAAGUCUGAUGGAGCAACGCCGCGUGAGUGAUGAAGGGUUUCGGCUCGUAAAGCUCUGUUGGUAGUGAAGAAAGAUAGAGGUAGUAACUGGCCUUUAUUUGACGGUAAUUACUUAGAAAGUCACGGCUAACUACGUGCCAGCAGCCGCGGUAAUACGUAGGUGGCAAGCGUUGUCCGGAUUUAUUGGGCGUAAAGCGAGUGCAGGCGGGUCAAUAAGUCUGAUGUGAAAGCCUUCGGCUCAACCCGAGGAUCGCAUCAGAAACUGUUGAACUUGAGUGCGGAAGAGGAGAGCGGAACGCCAUGUGUAGCGGUGGAAUGCGUAGAUAUAAGGAAGAACACCAGUGGCGAAGGCAGUCUGCUGGACAGCAACUGACGGUGAGGCGCGAAAGCGUGGGGAGCAAACAGGAUUAGAUACCCCGGUAGUC
RNAcentral lists this ribosomal RNA (465 nucleotides) under uncultured bacterium. Its description in RNAcentral is "partial 16S ribosomal RNA". It matches the Rfam family "Bacterial small subunit ribosomal RNA", at positions 338 to 795 of the family's 1533-position model. The record is from RNAcentral.